RNAcentral lists this transfer RNA (75 nucleotides) under Bacteroidia bacterium. RNAcentral describes it as "tRNA-Arg". It matches the Rfam family "tRNA". From Rfam's summary of the family: Transfer RNA (tRNA) molecules are approximately 80 nucleotides in length. Their secondary structure includes four short double-helical elements and three loops (D, anti-codon, and T loops). The record is from RNAcentral. RNAcentral also lists the same sequence under 4 other names. Lineage: Bacteria; Pseudomonadati; Bacteroidota; Bacteroidia.
GGCCCCGUAGUUCAAUGGAUAGAAUAGAAGUUUCCUAAACUUUUGAUACAGGUUCGAUUCCUGUCGGGGCUACCA